RNAcentral lists this ribosomal RNA (899 nucleotides) under Siphula decumbens. RNAcentral describes it as "eukaryotic LSU rRNA". It matches the Rfam family "Eukaryotic large subunit ribosomal RNA", at positions 40 to 961 of the family's 3401-position model. The record is from RNAcentral. Lineage: Eukaryota; Fungi; Ascomycota; Lecanoromycetes; Pertusariales; Icmadophilaceae.
AUAUCAAUAAGCGGAGGAAAAGAAACCAACAGGGAUUGCCUCAGUAACGGCGAGUGAAGCGGCAACAGCUCAAAUUUGAAAUCUGACUUCGGUCUGAGUUGUAAUUUGUAGAGGGUAUUUGGAAUGCGACGUCGGCCUAAGUCCCUUGGAACAGGGCGUCAUAGAGGGUGAGAAUCCCGUAUGUGGCCAUGCGUCAAUUUCAUGUCAAAUCUCUUCGACGAGUCGAGUUGUUUGGGAAUGCAGCUCAAAAUGGGUGGUAAAUUUCAUCUAAAGCUAAAUACCGGCCAGAGACCGAUAGCGCACAAGUAGAGUGAUCGAAAGAUGAAAAGCACUUUGGAAAGAGAGUUAAACAGUACGUGAAAUUGUUGAAAGGGAAGCGCUUGCCAUUAGACCGAUCUUCAGGCAGCAGUUUAGAGGUAACUCUGGAUGUAAAGCACCUGUUCUUCGGCCAGCAUCGGUUUAGGUGGUUUGACAAAAACCAUAAGAACGUAGCUCCUCGGAGUGUUAUAGCUUAUGGUAUAAUGAAGCCUACCUGGACCGAGGACCGCGCUUCGGCUAGGAUGCUGGCGUAAUGAUGGCAAGCGACCCGUCUUGAAACACGGACCAAGGAGUCAAUCGUUUAAGCGAGUGUUUGGGUGUUAAACCCAUGCGCGUAAUGAAAGUGAAUGGAGGUCAGAACCUCUCUCUGAGGCGCAUGAUCGACCGAAUCAGAAGUUUACGGAUGGUUUUGAGUAAUAGCUUCAAUGAUUGGACCCGAAAGAUGGUGAACUAUGCGUGAAUAGGGUGAAGCCAGAGGAAACUCUGGUGGAGGCUCGCAGCGGUUCUGACGUGCAAAUCGAUCGUCAAAUUUGCGCAUAGGGGCGAAAGACCAAUCGAACUAUCUAGUAGCUGGUUCCUGC